This is a long non-coding RNA of Mauremys mutica (yellowpond turtle), 1358 nucleotides long. RefSeq lists it as uncharacterized. NCBI's taxonomy places the organism in Eukaryota, Metazoa, Chordata, Testudines, Geoemydidae. The transcript has 4 exons. The record is from RefSeq and is a predicted model, not a curated record.
CCCCUCACGGGGCCGCUGGGCUCACGGACCCUUCCCCAGCCAACGGUUCGGGCGCGCCCGCGCGCCCCGGGAACCCGUGUGCUGCACGCUCCAGCCCCGCCCACCUGGCCCUCCCCAAUCUCCCUCACAGCCCCCCCAAUCCCCCUUUGGCCCUCUCCCCCCGCCAUGACCCGAGACCGACCCCCCGCGGCUGCCCCCUAGCGGCCACAGACCCCCCCUCCCUGCCCAGUCAGCGUUCCUGUCAAUCGUGCCCCUAGCCCCGCCCCCACCUUCGCACCCUGCAUCGCCCCGCUCUGCCCCCCUCCCCUCAGUGUCUCCGCCCCAGCUGCUUGCACAGCCCCACCCACCUUGAGCCGCCUCGCACGCCUGCCCGCACAGCCCCCGUGCCAGGUUCCACAGACACCCGCCCCUGAGUAACGCACCCCCCCCCCAUUCUGCGUGCUCCACCGCCUCCUCUUGCUAACGUCCUUUUACCUGAGAAACCUGCCUUUCACAGCAGCUUUCCUGCCCCUGGGGUGCUGUGAUGCCCCUGCCUUCAAGACCAGGCCUGAUUCCAACAGGCUGAUUGGGCCUUAGCUCUCCUUGCUACUGUAUUAUGAUAUCAGAGAUGCUGGUCUUGAAACUGGCAUUAGAGAAUUCAUGUGACAGUAGAUAAGGAAGUUGAGAGAUGGAUGGUGCCCACCUCAUUCAUUAUUACAGUAGCAUCAAGAGGCUCCAGCUGAGAUCAAGCUCUUUUAUAUUAGGCACAGUACAAACAGUGUGACAGUCUCUAUCCCAAACAGAUUGUAAUAUAUUCCUAUUUUGAGACCUGUUGUAUAGUACUUUUUAAUCAACAUUAUACAGAGAAGAUAUGCAUCCGACUGUUUACAGUGGGGGAGGGGAGUAGACAAGUGCUGAGAUUUAACCUAUGAGAUAAGAAAAAAAAAACUGCUUUCAGGGGGAGAGGAGGAGGAGAACAGAAUCAUUAGAAGAAUGAAGGUGAUUAACUAACUAGAAUAUGAAAGGCAGAACCACAGGAUAUUCAAGCUCCACAACUAAAACUCUUGCAAAAAAGGACAUAACACCAAUGGCAUCUUCUGUUUCUCCUGAAGAUUUCAUACAGAGCACACCCCAGCUAAUCCUCAUCUUGGGCAUCUUGUGUUUUGGAUUAGGUCAAAGACUCUGGUGCAGGUUUUCCAGACAGCCUGCUCUUCCCCUACAUUAACACAAGGGAGGAUCUUCAACUGUUGCUGUUAUGUUCUCAACUGCCCCUGUUCAAGUUGGGUUCUCAAGUGCAGACUCUUCACAGAAGGCGAGUUUCCCUGUUGUACAUAGGACUCCAUGAUGGCACCCCUGUUCUCUCUCUCACACACACACAC